CCAACUGACGCUGAGGCUCGAAAGUGUGGGUAGCAAACAGGAUUAGAUACCCUGGUAGUCCACACCGUAAACGAUGAUUACUAGGUGUUGGGGGAUUGACCCCCUCAGUGCCGCAGUUAACACAAUAAGUAAUCCACCUGGGGAGUACGACCGCAAGGUUGAAACUCAAAGGAAUUGACGGGGGCCCGCACAAGCAGUGGAGUAUGUGGUUUAAUUCGACGCAACGCGAAGAACCUUACCAAGUCUUGACAUCCUGCGACGUGCUAGAAAUAUGUACUUUCCUUCGGGACGCAGAGACAGGUGGUGCAUGGUUGUCGUCAGCUCGUGUCGUGAGAUGUUGGGUUAAGUCCCGCAACGAGCGCAACCCCUAUGGUCAGUUACUA
This 383-nucleotide ribosomal RNA is filed under the name gut metagenome. RNAcentral describes it as "bacterial SSU rRNA". It matches the Rfam family "Bacterial small subunit ribosomal RNA", at positions 736 to 1120 of the family's 1533-position model. The record is from RNAcentral.